GCCACACACCUCACAAGUGUAACCUGAUACUCCACUGGGUCCCUGGGAAAGAAAUAACUAGGACAUUCUGUAAAGAUGUUAUAUUUAUUUGCUCAAAACUAUUGUAUCUAUUGCCUGUGGUGUAGAUGUUUGUGUCUGCGUGUUUUGGGGGGGAUUCCAUCAAGUGUAACCAGUCACUCAGCACUUUUCGAGGAUAACAACUUCUUAUCUUAAGACGGGCAGGUGAGAGGAGAUGUCCAAACACAUGAUCUUCCCAAGCAUGGUGGCUUUGCAAGGAGGGCAGUAACUACUCAGCUGGACUUUAAUCACAUCAUGAAUCCCAUCUUCCUGUAAAGAAACUCAAAUCCAAGGGUGAAGAGGAAUUAGACGGUUUAGAUUACAUGGAAGAAGCCAGAAGGUGCCAAUCCUUUUGGAUCUGACUGUACAUGUGCAUAUGCAUCUAACAAAGACGCACAGAUGUAUUUCAGAUUUCAGCAAGAAUGAAACAAUAAGUCUUUCAAAACAGACAUGAAUUUAUUGUUUUGACAUUUAAAAUCUGCACAU
Long non-coding RNA from Oncorhynchus masou masou (cherry salmon), 543 nucleotides. RefSeq lists it as uncharacterized. NCBI's taxonomy places the organism in Eukaryota, Metazoa, Chordata, Actinopteri, Salmoniformes, Salmonidae. The transcript has 3 exons. The record is from RefSeq and is a predicted model, not a curated record.